RNAcentral lists this ribosomal RNA (208 nucleotides) under Clostridium senegalense. RNAcentral's name for it is "partial 23S ribosomal RNA". It matches the Rfam family "Bacterial large subunit ribosomal RNA", at positions 2724 to 2925 of the family's 2925-position model. Lineage: Bacteria; Bacillati; Bacillota; Clostridia; Eubacteriales; Clostridiaceae. The record is from RNAcentral.
UCACGCCAGUGGCAUAGCUGGGUAGCUAUGUUGGGAAGGGAUAAACGCUGAAAGCAUCUAAGCGUGAAGCCCACCCUAAGAUGAGAUUUCCCAUAACGUAAGUUAGUAAGACUCCUGAAAGAACAUCAGGUUGAUAGGUGAGGGGUGUAAGCAUGGUAACAUGUUCAGCUGACUCAUACUAAUAAGUCGAGGGCUUGACCUAAUAUAA